ACCCUAGGUCAAGUAGGAUUACCUAUUGAGUUUAAGCAUAUGAAUAAGCAAAGGAAAAUAAACUUACCAAGAUUCUCCUAGUAACAAUGAGCGAACCAGGAAAAGCCCAGCUUGAGAAUUGAGAACCCUUAGAGUCCAAAUUGUAGUUUCGUGAAACAUUCUCAGUGAUGGACUAGGCUUAAGUCUCGUAGAAAUGGGUGUUAGAGAAGGUGAGAGUCCUAUUGUGGUUGGAUCCUAUUGCACCAUAAGACUCUAUCUAUGAGUCAAGUUGUUUGGGACUGCAGCCCUAAUUGGGUGGUAAAUUUCAUCCAAGGCUGAAUAUAAGUGAGAGACCAAUAGUGAAUAAGUACUAUGAGGGAAAAAUGAAAAAGACUUUAAAAAAAGAGUCAAAGAGUGCUUGAAAUUAUCAAGAGGAAAACGGAUGGGAGAUGAUGAUGCACCUCAGUUAGAUAUGGAAUGGUGAGAGCCAGUCUAUUGAUUGGCUUAGGGCAUGGACUAACACGUGUCGCAGUGGCUGCCCAACCUUGGGCUUUCGAUAUGCUUACGGAGACAUUGUCACUAUGAUUAUGGAACAUAACACAAUCAUAUCAACAUGCCUCGACACUCGUGUGCUCCUGGCAUCAGCCUGCAAGCUCCCUAUCUAGCUUGUUUUGAAAUGUAGACCAAGGAGUGUGACAUGUGUGUAAGUUAACAUGCUAGAUAACCUAUAAGGUGCAAGAAAGUUGAUUGGCGAGAUCCCUCACAGGUGCACCACCGACCAACCUUGAUCUUUUGAGAAAGGUUCGAGUGUGAGCUUACCUAUUGAGGCGAACUAUACUUGAAUGGGGCUAAGCUAUGGGAAACUCUAGUGGAAGCCCAUAAUGUUACUGAUGUGUAAAUCAUUCAUCUAACUUGGGUAUAGGGGUGAAAGACUAAUUGAAUCAUCUAGUAGCUAGUUCCCUCUAAAGUUUCUUUUAGGAUAGAUGGAGCCCUUAGCGAGUUCUAUUGGGUAAAGCCAUGGUUAGAGGCUUUGGGGCACAAUGCCUUUAACCUAUUCUCAAACUUAAAUAAAUAGGAUGAUGCAGCUACUUCAUUGAGAUGCUCCAUGGAAUCGAGACCUCCAAGUGGGCCAUUUUUUGGUAAGUAGACCUGGUGACAUAGGAUGAACUAAAAGUUAGGUUACAGUGGCUAAUUGUGCGCUAACUUAGAACCCUCAAAGGUGUUGGUCGAUUAAGACAGUAAGACAGUGAUCAUGGAAGUCAAAAUCCUCUAAGGAGUGUGUAACAACCCACUUGUCAAAUCAACUAGCUUCGAAAAUAAAUGGCGCUUAAGCAUGUGACCUAUACUAGAUCAUUGAGGCAAGGGUGAUGGUUGCUGCAAAACUCAAUGUGCAAGCUUGUGCAAAAAGACUAUUAGUGUAAAUCUUAGUAGUAGUAGCAAAUAUUCAAAUCAGAACUUUAAAGGCCAAAGAAGGGAAAGGUUUCAUGUGAACAGCACUUACACAUAGGUUAGUCGAUCCUUAGAGAUGGGUUCAACAUAAGCUUUGAAAGGAAAUUAAGUUAAAAUUCCUAAACUAGGACACAAUGGCUAACAACAACAUUAGGGAUUCCAAAGACAUCGAUAGGGGCCUCAGGAAGAGUUAUCUUUUCUAUUUAAUGACCUACCCACCCUAGAAACAACUCAAUUGGAAGUAGGUUCCAUUGGCCAAAAGAGUAACACAUGUCACAUUAUGUCCUAUUUGCCCUAGCAGCCCUUGAAAAUAUGGAGGAGUGAGUGCUAUUCAUGCCUAGUUGUACUCAUAAUUGCAUGGGUUUCCAAAUUGAACAAGCUCUAGUCAAUGGAACAAUAUAGGUAAAGAAAGUCAGCAAAAUGGAUCUCUAACCUUGGGAAAAUGAUUGGCUCUGAGGGUUGGGCAUGGGGUCCUAGUCUUGAACCUUUUGGCUACCAAUGCACUACUCGAGCUACCCCUACAGUGAGAGUAAUUUGAUGCGUGUAGGCUAAGGGAUGGACUAGGAAUGGCUCCUUCGGGGGCCUUCCCCAUCUGAUGAAUAGUCAACUUAAAACUUGUAUGGACUAGAGGAAUCCAACUAUUUAAUUAAAACAAAGCAUUGUGAUGAUCCCUAGGGAUGCUCACUCAAUGUGAUUUUUUCUCAGUGCUCUAAAUGUCAAAAUAAAGAAUUUCAACCAAUCAUGAGUAAACGAUGGGAGUAAUAUAACUCUUUUGAGGUAGCCAAAUGCCUCUACAUGUAAUUACUGACACACAUGAGUAGAUUAACAAGAUUCUCAUUGUCCUUAUCGACUAUCCAACAAAACCACAACCAAGGGAAUGGGCUUAGCAAAACCAGCAAGAAAGAAGACCUAAUUAAGCUUGACUCUAGUCUAACUUUGUGAAAUGACUUAAGAGGUGUAGGAUAAAUGGGAGCCUUUUGAUGAAAUUGAAAUACUAUUUCUAUUAAUGUUAUUUUACUUAUUUUAUGAAUCGAAAAUGAGGCACAACCUUUUUUUUGGACAUAAAGCUAGCCUCAGUCGAUCAAUCUAGGCGAAAGACAUUGUCAGAUGGGGAGUUUACUGAGGCAGCAUAUUUAUUAAAAGAUAACACAGGUGUCCUAUGAUAAUCUCAACGAGAACAAGAAUCUCAUGUGGAACAAAAGGGAAAAGGCUCAUUUCAUUUUGAUUUCCAGUACAAAUAUGAACCAUGAAAGCAUGGCCUAUAGAUCUUUUAGACCUUCAAAUUUUGAAGCUAGUGGCAUUAGAAAAGUUACCAUAGGGAUAAUUAGCUUAUGGUAACGAAGUAUUCAUUAGCAGCAUUACUUUUUGAUCUUUCGAUGUCAGCUCUUCCCAUCAUUAUGAAGUAGAAUUCUUUAAGUGUUGGAUUGUUCACCCACCAAUAUGAAAUGUGAGCUAGGUUUAGACCAUUGUGAGAUAUGUUAGUUUUACCCUACUGAUAGCAAUGUUGCAAUAGUAAUUCAACCUAGAAUGAGAAAAACUAUUGAUUCACAUAAUUGGUCAUCGUGCUUGGUUAAAAAGCUAGGGGUAAGAAGCUAUCAUACACUGGAUUAUGAUUGAAUGCCUCUAAGUCAAAAUCUAGGCUAGAAGUAAUGCAUAUGCCCAUCAUCCAAUUGUUGACCUAUAGCAUGGAUGCAUGGCCCCCAAGAGCAUGUGUCAUAGGUGCAGCCCCUGCUGCAGACAAGCUACGCAAGCCUUAUUG
This 3187-nucleotide ribosomal RNA is filed under the name Durio zibethinus. Its description in RNAcentral is "eukaryotic LSU rRNA". It matches the Rfam family "Eukaryotic large subunit ribosomal RNA". The record is from RNAcentral. Lineage: Eukaryota; Viridiplantae; Streptophyta; Magnoliopsida; Malvales; Malvaceae.